CUGGAUGUGAUGAUGAACUUGAAGUUUGAUCUCCAAAAUGAUGGGUUUUGUAUUUGUACUGUCUGAUCCAG
Small nucleolar RNA from Eublepharis macularius, 71 nucleotides. The record is from RefSeq and is a predicted model, not a curated record. Lineage: Eukaryota; Metazoa; Chordata; Lepidosauria; Squamata; Eublepharidae.